This is a long non-coding RNA of Argentina anserina (silverweed cinquefoil), 2680 nucleotides long. RefSeq lists it as uncharacterized. The transcript has 8 exons. The record is from RefSeq and is a predicted model, not a curated record. Lineage: Eukaryota; Viridiplantae; Streptophyta; Magnoliopsida; Rosales; Rosaceae.
UCCUAAACCUUCUGUACCGAUCUGGAUUUCUUUCUUAGCGAUCUAGCCAAAAUCAAUACUUAUUAACCAGAUCUUCUACCAGUGUAAUGGGUCUGUUUCUUACUGUUCUCUACUGGAGAGCUCUUCUAUCUACUAAAACGAAAACAGCCAGAGCGAUAGAGGGGGGAGCGAGAAGGGCAGCUUUUGAAGAAGUUGCCUACUGUGGUUGAAUUGUUGGGCAGAGUUAUCUGCGUUUGGUUUGGAUUCGAUUUGGAUAAUGCACUGUUUGUUCCUUUUGGUAAAUUAAAAUCAGCAGACCUGGAUUAGAUUAUGUGUGUGUACAUAUAUAAUGAGGAGAGGAAGUGUCUGUGGAAUAGAUCAUUUUAUAUGGUUGAAGAUUUUAUCCAUAGAUCCUUGCACUGAAAGCAUCACUAUCAUAACCACAGUUCACAUUAGCUGUUACUGAAGCCUGGAGAUCUCUUCUACAUGGCUUUUGUUCAGUUCAUCUACACACUGGAAUACCAGAAUAUUUGAAAAAAGAGGCAGAGAGGGAGAUAAAGAAGUUGCAACAUGCAUGUAGGUGCAAGUCUGAUACUAUAUUAGCUAUUAGUAUAUGUGAAAUCAUUUGAAGCAAAGUGGACAAAGCAACUUUUUGGGCAGACUCUAGAAGAAAUUGGAGCAGCUAACUCAUGUAACAAGAUAACGCCUUUGUGUUUAUAUAGAGGCAAUUCCAGGGCUGUAAAGACACUGAAGCCAUAUCAGACUAGCUACCUUCGGAAUUACAUAAUUAAGAUCACCUACUUUUAUUUUUGUGCAUAUAUAUCUGAGCAUUACUGACUGUAUGCCCUCUUUUUUGUUAGGACUUUCCCUCUCUUUCUAAUGUUUUAGCUAACAUAUUGUAUUGUGACAUAAUAAUACCACCUAAAAAUUUAUUGAAACCACAGCAAAGCGCGGACAACUCUCUAGUAAUAUUGAUGUUAGGAUUAUAUUACCUUGGGUUUUCAAAAUAAGGGGGGUGUAUUCAACUAGGAUUCUAUAUGAUUUUCUUGUAUUUUAAGAAUCUUUUGAAAUCUUUUGGUAUUCAAUUAAGAUUUUAAACAAUCCAUUGAAAUCUCAAGGUAUUCAAUUAAGAUUUCAAAAACUUCUAUAAAUUCUAGUGGUAUUCAAAAAUAGAUUGAUUUUGAAUGAUUUCAUUUAUUAGUUGAUUUUGUUGGAUUUUGAAGUAUUUUUACACUAUAUCAUGCUUGUUAGAAAUCAAGCAUUUAGACAUGAGAAUUUGAUAUGUUCUCUCUCUCUCUCUCUCUCUCUCUCUCUCUCUCUCUCAAUAAGAUCGAAAGUUUGUAUGUUCUUAAUCAUGUGUUUUAUUUUAAUUGCUCAAAUUAAUUUUCUGGGUUUUUCUUAUGAUUUGGUAUAAUUGUUGUAAGCAAAAAAGAAAUGAUGGUUGUUUUUAUAAUUGUACUAAUAGUUGUUUUGCUAAAAAAAUUAAUUGUAUAACAAUCAAAUUUCAGAUUUUAGAAUACUAUUGAAUGUUAAUUGGGUGAAAGUUUAUAAAAUUGUUAUCAUAUCUUUGAUCCUCAUUCAAGAUAGUUGUACCUUUGUGAUAUUGAUCUUGUACUUUAGUUUUAUCGAUGUUUAUGGAAGUUUAUAGAAUUGAAUCAAACUCAUGUGAUUUUAGGAUUAUGUAAAAAUGAGAUAUUAAUCCCUAAUAAUACAUAGGGAUGUUUAUUAUUGCUUAACAUGUAUGUAUAAAAUUAAUAAGGAUGUAAGUAACUAGUAAAUCUUGUCAACAUACCAUCGUAAAAUCUAUUAAAAUCUUCCAAAUACAAUACAAUAGAAUCUUCUUAAAUCCAUAUAGAGUUUAAAUAAUUCAUGGAUUCUGCAUUCAGUAAAACUCCAAAGAUUAUAAGAAUUCAAACAAUCAUUUGAAAUUGAACACACUCCCUUAAAGCUACUUACUUUAUCAGUUAUCUGGGCCACUGGACUUGGCAUAUGAUGGGUUUCAAUAACUCUUAAGUGAUUUCCGUCGGCCCUUCACAACUAAUGACCUGUGAAACUUACGCAUCAUAGUUAAUAUUUGUUGUCUUAUUUAAUCCCUUAACUAUUUUUUUUGUAACCUAAAUGCUGGUAGCUGUUGUUUCUUCCCUUUGAGGUACUUUUGAUGAAGAAUAUAAGCAGAAGACCUCUAGGAGUCUGUAGAUGGUGAUGGACAUGGGGUUCUGGUUCUAGCUUGGUUUGGGAAGCUUAGUAAUGCUGAAAAAUGAGAAUAGUGGGCCUGACGGGUGUGAUUUCUUCCGGGAAGAGUACUGUCUCAAAUCUUUUCUAGGCCCAUGACAUUCCUGUUGUUGACGCCGACCUUGUUGCUCGUGAGCUCUUGAAGAAGGGAACUGGUGCAUGGAAAAAAGUUGUUUCUGCAUUUGGCGACCUGACAGAGAAGUUGAUAGGCCUAAACUAGGGAAAAUUGUAUUCUCUUAUCCUGAAAAACGUAAACUUUUGAACCAAUAUGUACUUUCUUGUGGACCAAUUAAUUUUAUUUUAUGAUCUCACUUGAGAGUUUCUUUGUAAAAGUUGUAAACAAGGGCAUUGUCUGUAAACUACUUUUAAUUUAAUCUGGUGAUGCAUGGUCAACAUGUGAUCAUUGAUUGCCAAAUAUUGGCGGUUUUAAGUUCGGUUAAUAAUAAUAAGAGGAUCUUGUUAUGUUGAA